This 99-nucleotide small nuclear RNA is filed under the name Mus pahari (shrew mouse). RNAcentral's name for it is "predicted gene, 23226 (MGP_PahariEiJ_G0033288.1)". The record is from RNAcentral. Lineage: Eukaryota; Metazoa; Chordata; Mammalia; Rodentia; Muridae.
GUGUUGCGUGAAAGGGGGGGUCAACCCCUCCUUCUCAAGUAUGGACGAGGCCCUUAGGCCUAAUACCACGGACCGGCAAGGCACUGCCGUCGGCUUCGU